CGGGGUGUAGCGCAGUUGGUAGCGCGCAUCGUUCGGGACGAUGAGGUCGACGGUUCAAAUCCGUCAUUCCCGACCA
Molecule: transfer RNA, 76 nt
Filed under: Minisyncoccota bacterium
Lineage: Bacteria; Bacillati; Minisyncoccota
Description: tRNA-Pro
Rfam family: tRNA
About the family: Transfer RNA (tRNA) molecules are approximately 80 nucleotides in length.
Source: RNAcentral